UACGUAGGUGGCAAGCGUUGUCCGGAUUUACUGGGCGUAAAGAGCGCGCAGGCGGUCGAGUAAGUCGAAUGUGAAAGCCCCCGGCUUAACUGGGGAGGGUCAUUCGAUACUGUUCGACUUGAAGGCAGGAGAGGGUAGUGGAAUUCCCGGUGUAGUGGUGAAAUGCGUAGAUAUCGGGAGGAACACCAGUGGCGAAGGCGACUACCUGGCCUGUUCUUGACGCUGAGGCGCGAAAGCUAGGGGAGCAAACGGG
This 253-nucleotide ribosomal RNA is filed under the name uncultured bacterium. RNAcentral describes it as "partial 16S ribosomal RNA". It matches the Rfam family "Bacterial small subunit ribosomal RNA", at positions 524 to 776 of the family's 1533-position model. The record is from RNAcentral.